AACCAUUCUCACCUGCGGCUAGACCUGCGGAAGGAUCAUUACCGAGUACUCCUGCUCUGCGGGAACUCUCACCCUUGAUUAUUGGCUUGUUGCUUCGGCGAGACGCUUCUCAGGAAGCCGUUGGCACACUGUGCUGGCGUGCGCUCGCCGGAGGUCUCAACUCUAAAAUUCUGAAGUCAGAGUUUUGAAAAUCUAUAAAAACUUUCAGCAACGGAUCU
Molecule: unclassified non-coding RNA, 218 nt
Filed under: soil metagenome
Description: partial contains 5.8S ribosomal RNA, internal transcribed spacer 2, and large subunit ribosomal RNA
Source: RNAcentral